GUCGAACGCCCCGCAAGGGGAGUGGCAGACGGGUGAGUAACGCGUGGGAACGUGCCCUUCGCUUCGGAAUAGUCCCGGGAAACUGGGUUUAAUACCGAAUACGCCGUAUUGGGAAAGAUUUAUCGGCGAAGGAUCGGCCCGCGUUAGAUUAGCUAGUUGGCGGUGUAAUGGACCACCAAGGCUACGAUCUAUAGCUGGUCUGAGAGGAUGAUCAGCCACACUGGGACUGAGACACGGCCCAGACUCCUACGGGAGGCAGCAGUGGGGAAUCUUGGACAAUGGGCGCGAGCCUGAUCCAGCCAUGCCGCGUGAGUGAAGAAGGCCUUAGGGUUGUAAAACUCUUUCGCCGGUGAAGAUAAUGACGGUAACCGGAGAAGAAGCCCCGGCUAACUUCGUGCCAGCAGCCGCGGUAAUACGAAGGGGGCUAGCGUUGUUCGGAAUUACUGGGCGUAAAGCGCACGUAGGCGGGUUUGUAAGUAGGGGGUGAAAUCCCAGGGCUCAACCCUGGAACUGCCUCCUAAACUGCAAGCCUGGAGGUCAGGAGAGGCGAGUGGAAUACCGAGUGUAGAGGUGAAAUUCGUAGAUAUUCGGUGGAACACCAGUGGCGAAGGCGACUCGCUGGACUGAUACUGACGCUGAGGUGCGAAAGCGUGGGGAGCAAGCAGGAUUAGAUACCCUGGUAGUCCACGCCUUAAACGAUGAGAGCUAGUUGUCAGUAAGCAUGCUUAUUGGUGACGC
Molecule: ribosomal RNA, 738 nt
Filed under: uncultured microorganism
Description: bacterial SSU rRNA
Rfam family: Bacterial small subunit ribosomal RNA
Source: RNAcentral